GUAAUUGAAGAACUGCUGGAUGAAUUACAUGGGGCAGUUUGGUUCUCGAAACUGGACCUACGGUCGGGAUACCAUCAAAUUCGGCUGGCACCAGGCGAGGAAUACAAGACGGCAUUCAAACUCAUUCAGGUCACUAUGAAUUCAAAGUGGUUUCUUUUGGGUUGGCUGGGGGUUCGGCCACGUUCAACGGAGGCCUCCAUACCACACUCCAUCCCUUACUCCGACACUGUGUGUUGCUCUUUUUCGACGACAUUCUCGUCUUCAGUAAGACUCUGGAAGAUCAUGACAAUCACCUGCGACAGGUAUUCCAACUGCUUCAGCGAGAUCAGUGGAAAGUGA
This 339-nucleotide ribosomal RNA is filed under the name Triticum aestivum (bread wheat). RNAcentral describes it as "partial small subunit ribosomal RNA". The record is from RNAcentral. Lineage: Eukaryota; Viridiplantae; Streptophyta; Magnoliopsida; Poales; Poaceae.